AGAGUUUGAUCCUGGCUCAGGAUGAACGCUGGCGGUAUGCUUAACACAUGCAAGUCGAACGGAGUACUUCGGUACUUAGUGGCGGACGGGUGAGUAACGCGUGAGAAUCUGCCUUCAGGUUCGGGACAACCACUGGAAACGGUGGCUAAUACCGAAUGUGCAGCAAUGUGAAAAAUUUAUUGCCUGAAGAUGAGCUCGCGUCUGAUUAGCUAGUAGGUGUGGUAAGAGCGCACCUAGGCGACGAUCAGUAGCUGGUCUGAGAGGAUGAUCAGCCACACUGGGACUGAGACACAGCCCAGACUCCUACGGGAGGCAGCAGUGGGGAAUUUUCCGCAAUGGGCGAAAGCCUGACGGAGCAAGACCGCGUGGGGGAAGAAGGCUCUUGGGUUGUAAACCCCUUUUCUCUGGGAAGAAAGUUGUGAAAGCAACCUGACGGUACCAGAGGAAUCAGCAUCGGCUAACUCCGUGCCAGCAGCCGCGGUAAGACGGAGGAUGCAAGCGUUAUCCGGAAUGAUUGGGCGUAAAGCGUCCGCAGGUGGCAGUUCAAGUCUGCUGUCAAAGACCGGGGCUUAACUUCGGAAAGGCAGUGGAAACUGAACAGCUAGAGUAUGGUAGGGGCAGAGGGAAUUCCUGGUGUAGCGGUGAAAUGCGUAGAGAUCAGGAAGAACAUCGGUGGCGAAGGCGCUCUGCUGGACCAUAACUGACACUCAGGGACGAAAGCUAGGGGAGCGAAUGGGAUUAGAUACCCCAGUAGUCC
RNAcentral lists this ribosomal RNA (757 nucleotides) under uncultured cyanobacterium. RNAcentral's name for it is "bacterial SSU rRNA". It matches the Rfam family "Bacterial small subunit ribosomal RNA", at positions 8 to 796 of the family's 1533-position model. Lineage: Bacteria; Bacillati; Cyanobacteriota. The record is from RNAcentral.